CCUACGGGUGGCAGCAGUGAGGAAUAUUGGGCAAUGGACGAGAGCCUGAACCAGCCACGUAGCGUGAAGGAUGACUGCCCUAUGGGUUGUAAACUUCUUUUAUAUGGGAAUAAAAUGUUCCACGUGUGGGACUUUGUAUGUACCAUAUGAGUAAGGAUCGGCUAACUCAGUGCCAGCAGCCGCGGUAAUACGGAGGAUCCGAGCGUUAUCCGGAUUUAUUGGGUUUAAAGGGAGCGUAGGUGGAAUGUUAAGUCAGUUGUGAAAGUUUGGGGCUCAACGGUAAAAUUGCAGUUGAAACUGGCAGUCUUGAGUACGUUAGAGGUGAGCGGAAUUCGUGGUGUAGCGGUGAAAUGCUUAGAUAUCAGGAAGAACUCCGAUGGCGAAGGCGGCUCACUGGACUGCAACUGACACUGAGGCUCGAAAGUGUGGGUAUCAAACAGGAUUAGAUACCCCAGUAGUC
RNAcentral lists this ribosomal RNA (460 nucleotides) under uncultured bacterium. RNAcentral's name for it is "partial 16S ribosomal RNA". It matches the Rfam family "Bacterial small subunit ribosomal RNA", at positions 338 to 795 of the family's 1533-position model. The record is from RNAcentral.